Molecule: transfer RNA, 73 nt
Filed under: marine sediment metagenome
Description: tRNA-OTHER
Rfam family: tRNA
About the family: Transfer RNA (tRNA) molecules are approximately 80 nucleotides in length.
Source: RNAcentral
GGAAGCGUGGCUCAACGGUAGAGCACGGGGUGUUAAAGCUCCGGGAUUGGGUGGUUCGAGUCCCCCGCCUCCG